RNAcentral lists this ribosomal RNA (825 nucleotides) under Triticum aestivum (bread wheat). RNAcentral's name for it is "partial small subunit ribosomal RNA". The record is from RNAcentral. Lineage: Eukaryota; Viridiplantae; Streptophyta; Magnoliopsida; Poales; Poaceae.
AUGCCAAGUGUGGACCAGCUGAUGUUGAAGAGCUCCUAUGGAUGCCUUGUUCUUGCAAACACUUCUCCAAAAAUAAUGCUCGAGUGCUCUGCUACUGAGUUGGUGAGCUGCAAACUCUCAGAGGCUCAUGCCACAGAGUUCUAUAUCAAUUGCUCGAUACAUUUGAGGUUUGAAUUCAGUCCCUUGAUGGUUUGGAAGAUUGCUUGGGUGCUUGGUUCUGUGUGUACUAUUGUUGCAUACAACUCCCAGUGUGCAGUCUUUACAAGACUGAAUGGUUGGCAUGUGAUGGGUCAACCAAGUGCUCUCAGGUGUAUCUCCCUGAGUGGCAAGCAAAAUUUGAAGGACGGAGGAGUCUUAUGCUUAUGGACAUCUUCCUCGAUCAAGUCUACAUCAGCCACGAGAACUACUUCGACAUCAACCAAGUCCGUGCCAACAACGACUACUACCUCAACGACGCUAGCGUCUUUGAACUUGAUCAAGUCUACCUCGAACAUGGCUACUACCAUGAAGGAUAUCACCACCGCUCUGGCAGUUCCAUGGGACCCGGGCAUAAAUUCUUCGGUGUCGGCUUGGGGUCAAGCCGAGUUUCAAGAAGGGAGGAAUGUCACGGGAACUACUUCAUCAACCACAACCAAAGAGGCUCAAUGCCGGCCCACGAGGCCCAAACAGACUGCAAAGCCCAACCCGAGGAGGCUUGACCUGAUAUAUAGAGGAACACAUCGAUUCAGGGAAGGAUGGAAGAACUGGAACCCGAACUGGCCGCUGUUGGGCGUUUUCCCUCUCCCACCUCCCGGCUCUAGCUUCCCAGAUCCCCUUUCUUGCUGA